GUCCAAGGCCAUACAACCUUGGACAUACACAAUCUCAUCUGAUGUUGGAAAUCAAGCAGGGCCAGCCUCAGGUAAUACUUGGAAAGUAAAUUGUCAUAGAAUACAGGGUACCUAUGCUU
RNAcentral lists this ribosomal RNA (119 nucleotides) under Phascolarctos cinereus (koala). The record is from RNAcentral. Lineage: Eukaryota; Metazoa; Chordata; Mammalia; Diprotodontia; Phascolarctidae.